RNAcentral lists this ribosomal RNA (223 nucleotides) under uncultured bacterium. Its description in RNAcentral is "partial 16S ribosomal RNA". It matches the Rfam family "Bacterial small subunit ribosomal RNA", at positions 135 to 353 of the family's 1533-position model. The record is from RNAcentral.
AGUGGGGGAGUAGCCUUUCGAAAGGAAGAUUAAUACGCAUAAGAUUGUAGUAUCGCAUGAUAUAGCAAUUAAAGGAAGCAAUUCGCUAUAAGAUGGACCCGCGUCGCAUUAGCUAGUUGGUGAGGUAAUGGCUCACCAAGGCGACGAUGCGUAGCCGACCUGAGAGGGUGAUCGGCCACAUUGGGACUGAGACACGGCCCAGACUCCUACGGGAGGCAGCAUG